This 59-nucleotide microRNA precursor is filed under the name Tetraodon nigroviridis (spotted green pufferfish). RNAcentral's name for it is "miRNA (ENSTNIG00000020249.1)". Lineage: Eukaryota; Metazoa; Chordata; Actinopteri; Tetraodontiformes; Tetraodontidae. The record is from RNAcentral.
GUGUGUGUGUGUGUGUGUGUGUGUGCGCGCACGCGCACGCGCACGCACACGCACACGCG